AAAGACUUGUUUAUUAUACGGUCGUAUUUCUGAUGGAGGGGGUAGGCCGCAGCCGCGGGGGGAAGAGGCAGGGGAACUUGAGGGGGCAAGAGGCAAGGAAAACGGUUGCACCCAGCGUCUGAGAACCUGCGAGCUACAGGCACAAUUGGGUGCCCGGCUGGAUACUCGUGGGACGGCGGUGCGGGAGCAGACGUUAAUCCAGCCGGCUCUCGCACACGUACCCCACGCUAACCUUGCCUUACGAAAGGACUGGGGGUGGGGUGCAAAGACUGGGCUGCUCCGGGCACCGUUCUCCCUCUUCCCGGCCGCCCCACCUGCCCGCCCGCCUAUUACUCUCCAGCCCCAGGGGAUGGACUAAUGCGGGGGCCAGGGUCCGUGCCCGGAAUGUGAGCCUGGUCCCCAAACAGUGUCCGCUCCUUCCAGCUGCCUACAAGAAGAGGGUUUGGGAAAUGUGGUUAAAGCAGUAUUGAUGGGCCCGGGUUCCUAGCGCUUGGUUCUUGAGCUGGGAACUGACUCUCAUCAUAGAGACACACAGACCCACCCGCGUGCCCGAUGGACCGACUGCGGUGCGGCUGUCUCUCCAGUCCGCAGCGGCGAGAGAACCCAAGGCGUCUGCUGGGUCCUAGCGCCCGUCCUCACCAAAACGCUUUGUGUAAAAGACCCGGAGAGUUGCAUCAGGAUCAAGGACCUAGAUCUCCAGAAAAAGCCCCGGAGAGCAAUCGCCAUUCCCUGUUUCGUCAUUCAGGCGGUGCCACAGAAAAUGUGACCCGACGGCGGUAAUAUAGAAAACUAACAGAGAUUGCUGACGGUGAGAAGAGGUUCUGACAGAUUCGACCUUUAUUUACUUAAGAGAUUUAUCAAUCUGGGACACAGAAUCCUGAUGGAAGAGAAAACCAAACUUACAUCAGACGCUCCCGUGCCGGGGCGGGCCAGAGCCUAACCAGAUCAGACUGGCGGGCCUCGCUUCCGGGCAGACUUGUGCGACCAAAGACACUCGCCACUGGAGUAGUCAGGCCGCUGCCAUCCACACACCCCGCUCCCAUUAAAAAAAAAAAAAAAAAGACUGACCCGUGGGUCUUCCGGGUAAACCAAGACUUAAAACUGUAAACGAUCAGAAUUCAAACCCUGCACCCCAUCAGCUUCCAGCAGAUGAGAGAACCAUCUCUGGAGACAAAUUCAUGGAUAAAAAAGAAAUCAGAUGACUCAGAUUAGGAGAUACCUUAAAGACUGCUGCAAAAUAGAAUAGUCUUUUGGCUGCCAGAGCUUUCGAGGCCUCCACACUGGCCCUUUCUUCCUAUUCUUCCAGCUCCAGUAACUUGCUGGGAGCCUUAAAGACAACAGUUGGGUGAAGUGCUUGGAAGACUGAGGGGAGAUGACAUCCUCUUGAAAUUACCCUUUACUGAGGUGAAAAGAAAAGAGUUGGGGUGACCUAUAUGGGUGUGUCUUUCUGUCACUCAGAGUAAAGAUCAGGGAAUUAGUUUAUCAAGACCGUUCUCUCCUCCCAGGCUGACUGGACUGGGGAGACAGCAAGAGACAGAGUGGUUUUCUUCUCUCUCCCCCAUUCCCUGCAUGAAAAAACAUUCUGAAAAAUGUGGAACACUAAUCUAUGAAAAAUAGAGGUUUUGUAAGCAAAAGAAUCCAGAGUUAUUCUAGAAAGGUCAGUUUACUAGGAAUCAUUCAUUCAUUCAAUAAAUAGCCAUCAUGGAAGUAGUGUGUUGUGGAGCCAUAUACUGUGUGCCAAGCACCUUUUUUCAUUCACUGUCUCAUUCUGUUAAUAAAACAGCUUAAAACACACACACACACACACACACACAGCUUUUUAUAAUUGGAAAGGGUUAUGUUAAAUGAGCACUGGAUAAUUUUGUUUCUUAAAAAAAAAAAACUCCAUUAAUGUUGUCUCAUUGUUUUCAAAAAGUGAUGAAAAAAGGACAGGCAGUCUUAACCUUAAAGGUUUUUCCCUUGUAGGAGAGAGUAGGCUAUAGGGUAAAAGACCACCCAGGAGGAGGCCUAGCUGCAGGGGGAUGAGGGUGGAGGGCAAAAUGGCUUCUCCACUGACAUUCUUCACCCAUACUGUUGUCUGUUAGGAGAACCUUUGGAUCUAAAGGGGAGUUUCUUAACAACCCCUCUGAGGGGCCUGGUUGAAGGGUCUUGGUUCAUGCUGUGAGGUGAAGGGCAGGAUCCCUUCCCCAAGGCAGUGGCUGGAAAGACAUUGUUACCAUCUCACAUACUGAAACAGAUGGGAUGAAGGGGGACCCCAAAAGGUGGUACUUGCAGGAAGGAGACAGCUACAUCUCCUAGCUUCUGAGCCAGGCCUCUUCAGAGCCUUUAAAGAUCCUAUGAACCCCGCAUUUGGUGUGCUUCUCUCCCUCUCAGGCCUAGGCUGGCUGCUGGUCAGGCUUGCCUGGACAUGUUUCCACCAGCAGAUUUUGAGACCAGCUCUGGCAUCCCAUCCUCCAGGA
Molecule: long non-coding RNA, 2459 nt
Organism: Bos taurus (domestic cattle)
Lineage: Eukaryota; Metazoa; Chordata; Mammalia; Artiodactyla; Bovidae
Source: Ensembl